This 62-nucleotide transfer RNA is filed under the name Planocera reticulata. RNAcentral describes it as "tRNA-metionine". RNAcentral also lists the same sequence under 1 other name. Lineage: Eukaryota; Metazoa; Platyhelminthes; Polycladida; Planoceridae. The record is from RNAcentral.
UAGAGAAUAAGUUAUUUAAACUAUAGGGCUCAUGACCCUAAAAAGAUAUUUUAUCUUCUCUA